RNAcentral lists this unclassified non-coding RNA (376 nucleotides) under soil metagenome. RNAcentral's name for it is "partial contains 5.8S ribosomal RNA, internal transcribed spacer 2, and large subunit ribosomal RNA". The stretch from base 1 to 120 matches the Rfam family "5.8S ribosomal RNA", at positions 35 to 154 of the family's 154-position model. The record is from RNAcentral.
GAUGAAGAACGCAGCGAAAUGCGAUAAGUAAUGUGAAUUGCAGAAUUCAGUGAAUCAUCGAAUCUUUGAACGCAUCUUGCGCUCCUUGGUAUUCUGAGGAGCAUGCCUGUUUGAGUGUCAUUAAAUUCUCAACUACACUGACUUAGAAUUGGUGUGGCUUGGAUUUGGGGGGAAAAUUGUUGUGGGCUUUUUGUAUAGUCUGCUCCCCUGAAAUUGAUUAGCGGUACCUUUGUGGAACUGUCUACAGGUGUGAUAAUUAUCUACAUCUUAGACAUCUGCUGGAAUGCUGCUUUCUAAACCUUACUUGUAUUGACAAUCUUGACCUCAAAUCAGGUAGGACUACCCGCUGAACUUAAGCAUAUCAAUAAGCGGAGGA